Molecule: long non-coding RNA, 5952 nt
Organism: Loxodonta africana (African savanna elephant)
Lineage: Eukaryota; Metazoa; Chordata; Mammalia; Proboscidea; Elephantidae
Exons: 4
Source: RefSeq, a predicted model, not a curated record
UUUUUUUUUUUUUUAAUUAGAAAGGAGUCUUGGUGACACAGUAGUUAAGUGCUUGGGUGCUAACCAAAAGGUCAAUAAUAAGAAUUCCUUAUAAAACCUUUUGAGUUGUGAGCUUUGAGACAAAAUAAUGAAGUCAUUCCACUUUCAAGAUGAUGUUUGGGUCAUUUGAUGAUUCUAAGUUUUAACAGAGGCUUUCUGGAGACAGUGUUAAACCCGAUAGAGUGACUUUGUAGUGGUGGUUUUUUGCAGUCGAGUCGGUUUCGACUCAUAGCAACCCAUGUAACAAAGUAGAACUACCCCCAUAGGGUUUUCUUGGCUGUAAUCUACGGGAGCAUAUCGCCAGGUCUUUUUGCCACUGGGUUUGAACUGCUAACCUUUUGGUUAAGAGCCAAGCACUUGACCAUUUGCACCACCAGGUCUCCUUAGAGUGACUUUAGGAGUAGAAAUUUCAGGCCAGGAAAAAUAGCACUGUGUAAAGAUGUUUGGGAUAUUUGUCAAAGCUUGUCAGAGUUACUGUACAUAUAGGGCUUCGCUAUGAGUCAGAAUCGACUCGACGGUACUGGGUUGGGUAUAGAGCUUCCUUAAGUGUGGAAGUAAUUGGAUACCUUGAAAAACCUGAUAUAGAGAAGAAUAUUAAGUUCAGAGAGGUGAAGCAAUUUGCCCACAGUUUCACAGCUAAUGCGUAAUAUUGGGACAGAAACUUUCCUCACUCAACCCUGAUCUCACUGAUUCUGUGGCUUUUCAUACUAAUCCUAAAAACCCAGUGUUCUGUGGAGAUGCCUCAGGGGCCACCUUAUAGAGUGGAUGAAGAAGCCCCCCAACCUCUGCUUCAACUGAAACAGCACAGUGCUAUCUGGAAUUACAUAAGAUUGGGGGAAAAAGUGGAAAACCACUAGUCAACUUCUGUGCACGGUAAAGCUCAUUUCCUGUUUGCAGUUACUUCUCAUAUCUCUGUCAUGCAAAGUUAAGCUCGGCCUGACUUUGGGCUGCUUUACAAGGAGCAUAAACAGAUUCCAUCUAACCUUUUUCUGUUGUGUUUCUUUCUUCCUGCUUUUUCACCUCCUCUUCAAUUACCUUCAUUUUUUCAUCAUACUCAUCGGCUAGAGUUUUCCAUUCUAUUCUGUUACACUGAAGACCAUUCAGCAUAGGUGUGAUUUCUUUGUGAAACCGUGAGAAUUCCUAGAAAGAAUUUUAGGUCCAGAAACCACUUAAACCAUACACUUGAUUUUAAGUACUUUUCAUAGCAAAGGAGGAUUGCUGUAAGAAAUUGUUAACAUGCUCUUAGCUGUGAGGAUGAGCUUAGCUCAGUGGCUUUGAAACUUGAGAAAGACAUCCCCUGUCUUUCCUGCCUUCGUAAGUCUGUUCAAUAUGCUCACAUCUGCGUUCUCUCACCUCUUAUUCCACCACUGAAUGAGCAAUUAGGAUAAAACCUCAAACUACUUUGGAGAAACAAGGACAUCCCUGAUGUUUCUCCAUGGGGGUGACUUUUCGAUUUUGUUACAUUUGGAAGAAAAAUUCUCCUCCAAGUGAUUACAUAUUUCAAGAAAAUAAUUUUGUUUUCUUACCUUAUAUACAAAAGUACAAACAAAAUCAAUAAAUCCAACUUGCAGUUUAGGUAGUUCAUCUUUUUUGUUUCUGUCCAUCAUAGGCUAAAAAGAGAAUAAAUCUAUUUAAUACAGUUUUCUAUGAUUCAAUAAACAAAAUAGAUUGAGGGGCACUGAUAAUUGUGCAUGAGUAGUGCAUUUUUGUGUCAGGGUCUUUACAAUAGGUUGUUGCUGUAGCACUGUUCUCUCCAGAUCUCCUUGUUCCCAAAAUUCAUUUGCAACCAGAAGAGCUACCUGCAAAUAAGAGAAGCUUGGUUCAUUAAAGUCCACUUAUUAAUAGAGAAUUUGCAUUUUAUUAGUAUGAGUGAUGCUUAAGGAUAUAGCGUUAUAGUUGAUACUUGAGGUGUAUUUGUACCGUAUACUCCUAACCUUUAAAAAGAUCAUCUACAGAUUGUAUCGAAAUGGGAAAGGGAAACUUUUCCUCCUCCUUCAAUGUCCUGGACUCAUUCUGGUAGUGCCUGUCUCCUCAUUGCUAUUGCCACCACCUCUCAACAGUAAAGAGGGAGAUGGGAGGAUGCUGGAUUCCAUUAAACAUAUCAUGCUCUGAUGCUUCCCAAGUCCUCCUCUUGUCCUGCUUAUCUUUUAGGAUCCAGAACAUACAUGGGUACACACAGACACACACACAUUAGUGUGCUGCUUGAUUACAGUGUGAGGAGACUCAGAGUUAAUUUAUAUUGUAAAAAAAAAUCUGUCAAGUUCAUUGAACACCUGUUGGCUGCCUUUUAUUGGCAUAUGCCGUGCUUGCCAAGAGGAAUAAGACAUGACUUUUGUCUUCAAGAAAGAAAGCAUUCUUUAAGAUGCUCACAAUCUAGUGAAGACAACCAUGUGAAUAAUGAAGGAAGUACUAUAGCAGCGAUACUAUGAAGUGUUACAGAACAAGGAGGGAGGAAAGGCAAGCAUCAUAACGGAGGGAAGCUGUGUUUAUGCUGUGUCAUUAAGAAUGAAUAGUAGUUUGCAGGGAAGUGGGGGGAAAGCAUGUACAGUGACCAAAUUCAAUGUGCAGAACUUAUGGGAGUAGGAGCUUAGAGUGUGAGGCACUGACAUGGGAGAGAGUGCAGGGAAAUGAGCCUGGGAAAGUGAGGUAAGGACAGGUAGCGACAGGCCAGCCACAUAACCUUGCUGGGAAACUUGAACUUGAUUGUCUAGGCUAGUGGAUUUAUUCCUGGAGCCCUAGAGUCUCUCCAAAGUGUACCAAGGGUCCAGGCGGGUGGAGGCCAAAAGAGAGUAAAGCUAAAAUAGCUUUUUUUUUUUCUCUUUUAUCAAGUGGCUUUUGAGGGUUUUUUUGGGGGGGGGGGUGAACUUUUUUUUUAAAAAGUUGAAAACUGGCAACGUGGAGUUUUUAGGAGACUUUUAAGCAGUGGAGUGGCUCAGCUCUAUAAGCAACCCCAGCAAGCAGGUCAGAGGAUGGUGCGGGGAGUUGAUGAUGAGGUUGCCACCAGAGCCUCAUCAUUCUGAUAAAAGAGGAUGAAAAGUCUAAACUGAGGCAGUAGCAAGGGUGAGAGAAACAGUUUUGAAAUGAGGGCAAUGCCCUCAAGUAAGACCCCCGGAUUCUGGCUUAGGUGAUUGCACAGAUGAAGAAUCUAGGAGGAAGAGCAGGCAUGUCAGGGUGGACGGAGUGCAAGUGCUUGGUUUUGGGCUUGAUGGGUUCCAAUUACGACAUCAUUACAAGACAAUCCACGUUUACAGUUGGACCUGGCUGAUUCUGGCCUCUCUUGCCUAGAGUUUUUCCUAGAAAUUAUUAAGGGAAAGGAGACAUAUCUUUCAUCCAGUUAGUGGGAAAACAAUACUGGAUGAACUAAUGCCUCCCCACUCCCACUCUCCAAGCUUGGGGAAGAACUUCAGUGGAAGACCACCUUAAACAUGAACUCACAGACAAUGCCUUCUAAUAAUUAGCAGCCCAUUUAAGAAGAGAUUGAUUGUAAGAGCAAAACCAGCCCUGACGGAAGAAAGCACUUAGGAUUCAACCUCGUCUAGGCUGACUUACCUCCUCUACUAAAAAACUCAGACUGUCCCUGAGUAAUUUUAUGUAAACGUUUUACAACCCGUCCAAUCAUAAGGCAUUCCUUCUAGAAAACAUUUUCUGUCCAAGGUUCCCUCUGCUUUGGUCUAGGGCCUGAUCAAAUUACCUAUUGUCUUACUGAUGUUUGUGAGCUCUUGAAAGUUUUUUGCCUUUCGUCAUUAACAGAAACCCAACAGGGAACAUUUAUUUCUGUCAUAACUUCUCAAGUUAUUUUUUCUUUCUUUAAAAUUAUAAACCAAUUAUUUGAGAGGACAUUUCUGGUGUAAUGAAAGAUAAUUGCUUAUAAAAUAUGUAUAGUCAUGUAACUAGUAGCAAUGAUAAGAUUCCAAGGGUUGCCAGAUGGACUUUUACAUGGGAUCUAGGCAGUACCUGAGAGUGGGACAGAAAUAAAACAAAUGGACUCACCUGGCUUUGUACCUCCCAGGGCUUGGUUAUGGCAGACAAGUCACAUGCAGUCAUCAUCAUUGCCCUUUGGAAGAGAAGAAAGUGAAAUUUGUUAAAAGAGAAAUAAAUACAAGUUCUGGAAGAUGUUUAAAGUCUGUAAGAUGAAAAUUCACAAUGAAGUGCAAUCGUUAACUUGCCUUUGAUUCAACAAGCAACCAACCGAAGUGUGUUUAACAAAGUAAGCAAAGAUUAUUCUAUUACGGAAAGAAGAAAAAUGAGGUCUUGCAACACUUUUUUUGCUUUCAACUUUUAUCUCAUGGAUUUCUCUACUUUAAGUAAGACACUUUAACCUAAAAGCAUGUAGCAACCAAAACCAAGCCUGUUACCAUCAAGUCGGUUCCAACUCAUGGUGACCCCAUGGGCUUUUUAAUAAAUGAUAUUGAGUCAGUUGGAUUUCCAUAUGGAAAAAAAGUGUCUUGACCGUUACCUCACACCAUAUAUAAAGAAAAUUUAAACUAGUUGGAGUCUACCCAGAAGCACCUCGGAAGAAAGGCCUGGUGAUCUACUGCUGAAAACUCAGCCACUGAAAACCCUACGGGGCACAGCUCCGCGCGUGGGGGCACCAGGAAUUAGAAGCAACUCAAGGGCACUAGUCGGCUGGAGUAACGAACGGCAGGUCAGUGUCUGCUGGGGCUGGAGCGGGGAGGCGGAUGUGAAGGGGUGUGAGGAAUCUUUCAGGGUGAUGAAAGUGUUCUGUAUCUUGAUUGUGGAGGGAGUUUCACCGGUGUAAACAACUGUAAAAACUCAUAGAAUUGUACACUUACACCUUAAUUAUGUUGAUUAAAAAACCAAACUCUGACCACAGGAAAAAUGAAUAGCUUGGAUGCUAUGAUCUUAUUUUUCUAAAUUUGUUUCUGUCUAUGCUGCCUGCAUAUAUUCACAAGGUGGCUGCAAUGAAGCUCAUUAAUGUUAAUGAAGUGUCUAUUUCUGGGUGGUAGGAUUCAAAGAGACUUUUUAUAUUUGUCUUUGAAAUUUUCCCUAUUGCUUGAAUUUUCAUAGUGGGCAUGUACCACCCUUACAGGUAUAAGUCAUUAAUUUUAAAGAUAUAUAAGUAUGUAAUGUUGCAUUUGUUUUCCUGAGCCUUGUGCUGAAAACAUGGUGUAAAGACAGGUGCCACAGAACAAGAGUGAACCUACUUCCCAGCCCUGUUCCAUCUGGGCCCCUGCUUGUUCAGGUGGUCUCACCUGAUCACAAGAAGAGUCUAUUUUUGUUCUCCUCUGACUAUUAACAUGGCACUAAAAAUACAAAUUCUGUGUAGCACACCAAAAUGGGUAGAAAUGGCUCUAAUUUAUUCUGAUUGGGGCUUUUAGGUGAUGUGAGGCCAGAGCAAGUCCCAGCCAUUCCAAUCUUCAAUGUGGGGACCUUGACACCUAUGAGAGAAUAUUGCCAACACAUUCCUGACUCUUGAUGGCCACACACAAAACACUUAAUUUCUUCUUCGUUCCUUCUUUGUACAAAACAAGACAACCUGAGGAGGUUGAUAGGAAAAAGCAUAAAUACAAUUGUCAUACACUUCGUGAAAGGUAUUUUGAAUAACAACAGCGUUCUGGUAUUUAUCCAGAGCAAUUUAUUUUUGUCAUUUCUAUAGAACAGUAGAGUCUAAAAAUGUAUGCUCCUGCAAAUUCAGCUAACUAGGCUUCCACCCAUUCAGUCAGGUUUGAGCGUUAAUUUCUAGUUGGCUUAGAAGCAAGUGAUUCUAAUCCUCAAAGCAGUGAAUCCAAUUCUACUGGGAGAGAUGGACAUUUUAGUUCAAAGCUUUAUAACGUGAAAAACAAAAUGAGUAAUGCCCACAAAAUGCCAGCAUUCCUCCAUAAACCCUAAGGAUUUCCCUUAUUUAAAAAAAAAAACAAAGUUUGUAAGCAUGGACAUUAUUACCUUCUAACA